This 497-nucleotide ribosomal RNA is filed under the name uncultured bacterium. RNAcentral's name for it is "partial 16S ribosomal RNA". It matches the Rfam family "Bacterial small subunit ribosomal RNA", at positions 28 to 507 of the family's 1533-position model. The record is from RNAcentral.
GAUGAACGCUGGCGGCGUGCCUAAUACAUGCAAGUCGAGCGAACAGACGAGGAGCUUGCUCCUCUGACGUUAGCGGCGGACGGGUGAGUAACACGUGGAUAACCUACCUAUAAGACUGGGAUAACUUCGGGAAACCGGAGCUAAUACCGGAUAAUAUCUUGAACCGCAUGGUUCAAUAGUGAAAGACGGUUUUGCUGUCACUUAUAGAUGGAUCCGCGCCGCAUUAGCUAGUUGGUAAGGUAACGGCUUACCAAGGCAACGAUGCGUAGCCGACCUGCGAGGGUGAUCGGCCACACUGGAACUGAGACACGGUCCAGACUCCUACGGGGGGCAGCAGUAGGGAAUCUUCCGCAAUGGGCGAAAGCCUGACGGAGCAACGCCGCGUGAGUGAUGAAGGUCUUCGGAUCGUAAAACUCUGUUAUUAGGGAAGAACAAAUGUGUAAGUAACUAUGCACGUCUUGACGGUACCUAAUCAGAAAGCCACGGCUAACUACGUG